Molecule: signal recognition particle RNA, 313 nt
Filed under: Archaeoglobus fulgidus
Lineage: Archaea; Methanobacteriati; Methanobacteriota; Archaeoglobi; Archaeoglobales; Archaeoglobaceae
Also listed under: 2 other names
Description: signal recognition particle sRNA
Rfam family: Archaeal signal recognition particle RNA
Source: RNAcentral
UGGUGGGCUAGGCCGGGGGGCUCGGCGUCCCCUGUAACCCGAAACCGUCGAUAUGCGGGGGCCGAAGCCGAUGGAAGGUCCGCAUGUCCGUAGAAGCUAAGCAACGAGUCUCGUAGAGUCCUCGUCCUGAAGGACCGGCGGUUACCUCGAAUCCUUCGGAGGAAGGGUUCGUGGUAUUUGCCGAGGGCACCGGCUGAGGCCCGGAAGGGAGCAAGCCUACCUCGGACGUCCGGUGCUUUCAGGGGAACGGGGAGGAGGGAUUCGUUGCUUGGCCUUUGCGGAAACAGCGGAUCGACCUGAGGCGCGCCCACCA